UUCUGCCCCUGUGACUACUUCACCCAGGAACGCUUCUGUGUCCCAGCUGCCGGGAGGUCCCCACAACAGCUGCAACUAGGCGAGGGCCGGAAUCCAUGCACGCCCUCUUGAACGGGGGCUGGUCUCCGUCGAAUUCCUGCAAAGCAACGGAAUUCGAACGAAGAGCAGAACGAACUUUUCGUUCAGACAGGGUGCACACUUCCUGGCCCAAGACAUGCUGUACCAGGGCGUCAUAAGAGGCAAACGGCUUUCCAUAGAUGUCUGUGGCG
This 269-nucleotide long non-coding RNA is filed under the name Volvox carteri. RNAcentral describes it as "long non-coding RNA (VCAR_LNC004037)". Lineage: Eukaryota; Viridiplantae; Chlorophyta; Chlorophyceae; Chlamydomonadales; Volvocaceae. The record is from RNAcentral.